CGGGGAGCGAGGACGAGUCUGCUCGGUCUUCCAAGAAAUUCGUUCGACGCGUUCAAGAUUGAAGUCAUUUAAGUGGUCCUGAUCACCGGCAGGCUGGACACAACGACUGAGGGACGGAGACAACGAACUUUGUGCUUCAUGCACGAACGUUGAUGCGUGAAUUAGAGGAGCCGAGAGUGCAUUUUACACCUGGAUUACACAAGCAAGGAAGCAUGUUUUUCAGGUUACGUCAAGCGAUGUCGUAAAUGGGUGAGUCAAUCGUCUACUGUGGUUGGUGUUACGUUCUGCGGAAGAAACGGAAGUUGGGGAAGAACAGCUAUCCAAAGGUGUGGAAGAGAUAAAGAAGCGUGACCACAGAGCAGCUGCAGUGGUGAAGGAGAGACGCAGUGGUCAUCGU
Molecule: long non-coding RNA, 397 nt
Organism: Ornithodoros turicata
Lineage: Eukaryota; Metazoa; Arthropoda; Arachnida; Ixodida; Argasidae
Exons: 3
Source: RefSeq, a predicted model, not a curated record